UACGGGAGAAAGCAGGGGACCUUCGGGCCUUGCGAUAUCAGAUGAGCCUAGGUCGGAUUAGCUAGUUGGUGAGGUAAUGGCUCACCAAGGCUACGAUCCGUAACUGGUCUGAGAGGAUAAUCAGUCACACUGGAACUGAGACACGGUCCAGACUCCUACGGGAGGCAGCAGUGGGGAAUAUUGGACAAUGGGCGAAAGCCUGAUCCAGCCAUGCCGCGUGUGUGAAGAAGGUCUUCGGAUUGUAAAGCACUUUAAGUUGGGAGGAAGGGCAUUAACCUAAUACGUUAGUGUUUUGACGUU
RNAcentral lists this ribosomal RNA (300 nucleotides) under Pseudomonas sp. It matches the Rfam family "Bacterial small subunit ribosomal RNA", at positions 195 to 476 of the family's 1533-position model. Lineage: Bacteria; Pseudomonadati; Pseudomonadota; Gammaproteobacteria; Pseudomonadales; Pseudomonadaceae. The record is from RNAcentral.